GGAAUCUUCAAAGUCUCUAAUUCUAUCCACCAUGUCUAUUAGGCCCAUUACCCAACCUGUAAUGAGUAGUCCUCUUUUCUUAAUAUGGCCCCAUAGUUUCUUUAUUCAUAGUGGGCCGAAUCAUAUGAUCUUUGUAAAUUGUAGGGCUAUAGCCGGACUAAACCGCAUUUAGUUACAGUUGUCUUGUUAAUGUAAGAACAUAUGGAUGUCCAUGUGGGGGAACUCGAAUUUGUUUGGUAACGAAGAUAAUCGGAUUUGCCCAUCUAAUU
Arabidopsis thaliana (thale cress) is the source of this 269-nucleotide long non-coding RNA. RefSeq annotates it as other RNA. The transcript has a single exon. Lineage: Eukaryota; Viridiplantae; Streptophyta; Magnoliopsida; Brassicales; Brassicaceae. The record is from RefSeq.